This is a long non-coding RNA of Thamnophis elegans (Western terrestrial garter snake), 422 nucleotides long. RefSeq lists it as uncharacterized. NCBI's taxonomy places the organism in Eukaryota, Metazoa, Chordata, Lepidosauria, Squamata, Natricidae. The transcript is spliced from 3 exons. The record is from RefSeq and is a predicted model, not a curated record.
UUUCAGCCAAGGCGUACUUGGGGUUUAAAACCCCCCGAGGUGAAGAAUACAGUUAAUUGCUUUGUACUGCUGUUACUAUUUGCUUCUGGUUUGACUGCUGUGCUCUGCAAACGCAGAAUAACAACUCUAGUGGGCCUGGGAUCAGAUGACAUGCUGAUUUCCCCACCCUUCGAUGCUGCCUGGCCUUGACUCAGUCCAUUGUCUUGGAAGAGAAGAGAGAUAGUUCCUUAUGUGGAAAAGUCUUUGAAGAAUGAAAGAAAGGGAAUCAGAGACUACAGAGGUAUCCCAGAAGUGCCUCAAAGAUCAUCAGAACAACGGUCUGGACCAGAAAACUGGUAAACUAUGGACAAGAGAGGAAGGUGUGAUGCAGAGGUUUUCUACCUUGAGUUAUUUGUAAAAAUAAUAAAGGCAUGAUACAAAUA